UUGGAGGGCAAGUCUGGUGCCAGCAGCCGCGGCAAUUCCAGCUCCAAUAGCGUAUAUUAAAGUUGUUGCAGUUAAAAAGCUCGUAGUUGAAUUUCGGGAUCAAUAUUUCGGUCAUGCCGUUGGUAUGCACUGUUAUCAUUGAUUUCUCACCUUCUAAAGAACCGUAAUGCCAUUAAUUUGGUGUUACGGGGAAUUAGGACUGUUACCUUGAAAAAAUUAGAGUGUUUAAAGCAGGCUCACGCUUGAAUACAUUAGCAUGGAAUAAUGAAAUAGGACAUCCGAUUCUAUUUUGUUGGUUUCUAGGAUCGAUGUAAUGAUUAAUAGGGAUAGUUGGGGGCAUUAGUAUUCAAUUGUCAGAGGUGAAAUUCUUGGAUUUAUUGAAGACUAACUACUGCGAAAGCAUUUGCCAAGGAUGUUUUCAUUAAUCAAGAACGAAAGUUAGGGGAUCGAAGACGAUCAGAUACCGUCGUAGUCUUAACCAUAAACUANNGCCGACUAGGGAUCGGAUGAUGUUAAUUUUUUAAUGACUCAUUCGGCGCCUUACGGGAAAC
RNAcentral lists this ribosomal RNA (551 nucleotides) under uncultured Glomus. RNAcentral describes it as "SSU rRNA". It matches the Rfam family "Eukaryotic small subunit ribosomal RNA", at positions 548 to 1098 of the family's 1831-position model. The record is from RNAcentral. Lineage: Eukaryota; Fungi; Glomeromycota; Glomeromycetes; Glomerales; Glomeraceae.